GGCUGAGCGUUGCCGUGCCCGCGCCCAGCGUCGCUGAGGCCGCCGCCCUAUCACCUGCGCGCCGCCAUUUUCAUCCAUCCUCUUGGCAGUAGAGGUUGAUUUCUACCUAAGCGAGGCGUAUGGCUUGGACCAGCGCUCCUACAGUAGUGUUCACUUCGUGUGUGUUUUCUGCGUCGCCAUGCCUGUGGGUGCUGCAGCGCUAUGCGAGUAUUAUGGCUACCUGCCGAGGCUCGUCCGCCAUACGGGGCUGCUUCCAUCGACACGCACCUCCGUGACUUCAUCGAUGGCCCCGACAGUGUUGCACUCGUCACUCUACGAGGUGGACCCUUCUCCUCCCGUGCGGAGCGGCGAGGUUGAGCUCCCGUCCACCUACUCACUGCACAAACCGUUGGUGUAUGACAUCGCUGAGCUGCCACCCAAGCCGGUCUCAUCCUUGCGUCUAGUCAUUAUCAGCGACACCCACGAGCGGCAUCGAGAGAUGAGUGUUCCAAACGGCGACGUGCUGGUGCACUGCGGCGACAUCCAGGAAGGCUUGAACUUUGUGCGGGACGUCAAAGCGAUGCUGACCGAUUUUUCUGCCUGGUUCACGGAUAGCGCGUUGCACCCGCACCCGGUGAAGUUGAUCAUUGCGGGCAAUCAUGACAAGGCCAUUGCUGCAAUGUCUACAGAAGAUGUUCGCCGACUCUUUGAACCUGCUGUGUAUUUGUGCGAGGACAGUGUGGUGGUGGAGCCUGUCGGUGUGCGCUUCUACGGUUCACCACGCUCCAUCUCCAACUCUCGCUGGAGCCCCAAUACAGCAUUUCAGGACAAAAAGGCGUGGAAGCCUUUCAUGUUCGCCUCGGCGCGGCAAGAUGAUGGGCCAGGAGCCGUGUCCACUGCUUCUCGAUGCUCAUCGGAGCAGCCUCUUCGCGCGCGGUUCGAAGGUGCCACACCAGGUGGUUCUGUCGAUGUCUUGGUAGUUCACCAAAGUCCAGACAUUCCCAGAGCUCACCACAGCGUUGAGGAGCAGCCAAUUUGCACGUAUACUCAACAGGUGGCGCCGCGCCGCGUGCUUCUUUGUGGACAUCUUCACGGUGCACAUGGCAUGCAUCGGCUGCCAGUGCCUGAACUUGUCAGGAAGUCAUUUCGCGUGGCGACACGAGGUGGAGGCGGCCAGCCGGAGGGGGUGGCGAGGCUGGAUGAAAUCCCGUUCCUUCCGUGCAUUAACGCCGCCAUGAUGGUUGGCCGCUUUGGCCAGAAUGUGCUGCUCCCUCCGAGUGUCGUGGACCUGGAGCUGUGAAGACGUUGCAUGGGAGGGAGUCAGGCGAAACGGAGAUCCAUGGAGGCUACAGUGUGUGCACACUGCUGGGCCGGAUCUUUGCCGCGCCACCGGGUCUGUAAGGCAUACAGCUGCUCUGUAGCUUUUUUUGUUCGUUGCUCUAUCGUUUUCCUUCUCUCUUCGGAUCUCUUUGUUGGCUCUGAUGCGACGGGUGCGUCUCAGCAUCCGUUUUCCAUGUUCUCUGCACGUAUCACUUUCCCAGUGCUGACUCUAGGCACACUUCUUGAGCCACUGUC
RNAcentral lists this unclassified non-coding RNA (1554 nucleotides) under Leishmania donovani. RNAcentral's name for it is "gene:LdHU3.36.3900(CDS-product:Calcineurin-like_p hosphoesterase_superfamily_domain_containing_protein_putati ve)". The record is from RNAcentral. Lineage: Eukaryota; Euglenozoa; Kinetoplastea; Trypanosomatida; Trypanosomatidae.